Molecule: signal recognition particle RNA, 97 nt
Filed under: Pseudomonadota bacterium
Lineage: Bacteria; Pseudomonadati; Pseudomonadota
Also listed under: 1 other name
Description: Proteobacteria bacterium (marine sediment metagenome) signal recognition particle sRNA small type
Rfam family: Bacterial small signal recognition particle RNA
About the family: The signal recognition particle (SRP) is a universally conserved ribonucleoprotein involved in the co-translational targeting of proteins to membranes. Archaeal SRP consists of a 7S RNA and homologues of the eukaryotic SRP19 and SRP54 proteins.
Source: RNAcentral
AGCCGGGUCCUGUGCAACAAAGGGUUACAAACUCCGUCAGGUCCGGGAGGAAGCAGCGGUAGUAAUCAUUUGUGUGCCGCAGGGAUGCCUGGCUAUC